This 1488-nucleotide long non-coding RNA is filed under the name Cicer arietinum (chickpea). Its description in RNAcentral is "long non-coding RNA (CARI_LNC003109)". The record is from RNAcentral. Lineage: Eukaryota; Viridiplantae; Streptophyta; Magnoliopsida; Fabales; Fabaceae.
UUCCUUUAUAAUUAUUUAUAUUAAAUAGAAAUAUAAUUAUUAACAUGUCAUAAUUACUAUUUAAUAGAAAAAAUAGAUAUAUAAACAAUAUGCUACAAGCCCACACAUAACAAGCUGGCACAAAAGCAACCCAUCACAGUUCAAGCUAGCAACAGACUGGCAUCAGCAAACAGAGCGUAAGGUAAAGACAUGAAGUAAAAGGCUUAAAUCAAAUAGGAUUGAAAACAAAACAAAUUUAAACUUUGCAAACACAAUAGAAAUUAUGUGAGCCAAAUCACUACACAAAUUAUCUCAGCACCAUUUAUAUACACCAACACAAAUAAGAUUUCAUCUAAAUAUAAAGUUUGAAGAGUGGGUGAAUGAAAAAAUACAUGCCUAUUCAGGUAUUGAAGACAGAGAUAGUGAGAUGGUGAGAUGGUGGUGGUGCACAUGUUAAAUAGCAGAUUGAUAUCACUCAUAAAUAAAAUACACUAUGUUUAUUACUAAUGAAUUACCUUCAUCAUUAUUUAUAUUAAAUAGAAAUAUAAUUAUUAACAUGUCAUAAUUACUAUUUAAUAGAAAAAGUAGAUAUAUAAACAAUAUGCUACAAGCCAACACAUAAUAACCUGGCACAAAAGCAACCCAUCACAUUUCAAGCUGGCAACAGAUUGGCAUCACCAAACAGAGCGUAAGGUAAAGACAUAAAGUAAAAGGCUUAAAUCAAAUAGGAUAGAAAACAAAACAAAUUUAAACUUUGCAAACACAAUAGAAAUUAUGUGAGCCAAAUCACUUCACAAACUAUCUCAGCACCAUUCAUAUACACAAACACAAACAAGAUUUCAUCUAAAUAUAAAGUUUGAAGAGUGGGUGAAUGAGAAAAUACAUGCCUAUUCAGGUAUUGAAGACAGAGAUGGUGAGAUGGUGGUGGUGCACACUAUUGUGUGAAGUGGGAUGACGGUGAUACACUCUAUUUCUCUCUAUUUUUCUAUUUUCCUUGGUACUCAAAGCUGCCCCAAAAUCUCUUCCCCUUCCCUGAUUUCUUUCUCAAUUUAUAGAAUAAAAUGAUGAACUAUUGUAUUCGUUAAAUAAAAACAACAUCCGUAUUUUGUAUUGUUUUCGGAUAAAUAUUAAACAACAUCAGAUGUUUGAGUGCGAAAGUGAUACAAUUAAUAGAAAGCCAAAAAAUAAAUCAGAUGAGGGAAGAAACUGGUUUGUAGCAUGUUGCUAAGAGAGAUGAUAACAAAAUAAAUAAAACAAACGUGUUUAUGGUAAAGAAGAAACAAAAGUAGGACAAAGUAUGGCAAACUUGCUUGCAAAGAAAAACAAAAAUAGGACAUCAAAAAAAGUGUUUAAAAAAAUAAAUAAAUAAAAGAGAAAAAAAAAAUCUUAUGUUGGUGAAAUAAAAAAAUGUGUAAAAAUAAAAAUGGGUGUUGGCAGAAAAUAAUAAAAAUGAAUAAAUAAAAAUUAUAAACACAAAAAAUAAAAUGAAAAUUCAUAACCUUUUUACUC